UUAUUUUUGGGCUUAUUUGCAUUCUAGGGUUUAUUUGUGGUUUAUUUUAUUUCUGGGCUUAUUUGCAUUUUAGGACUUAUUUGUGGGUUCAUUAGGAUUUAUUUCUGUGUAAGGGGGGUUUAUGCAAGUUGUGUAUUUGGGCCCUAUAUAUAGGGAACUAUUUUCAUGAUUAGGGUUUAAUGAAUGAUUAAGAAUUUCUUUUCCCUACGUUCUUUCUUCUCUUCUUCUCCUCUCCUUCUCUAUUCUUCCUGCGUCUCUACAACCUCUUCUUCCUUCUCCUUCUCUUGUUCUUCCUUCUUCUCCUCUUCCCCCGCACUGGUGCUGCAUCA
This 329-nucleotide long non-coding RNA is filed under the name Phoenix dactylifera (date palm). Its description in RNAcentral is "long non-coding RNA (PDAC_LNC018111)". The record is from RNAcentral. Lineage: Eukaryota; Viridiplantae; Streptophyta; Magnoliopsida; Arecales; Arecaceae.